AUACGGAGGGUCCAAGCGUUAUCCGGAAUCAUUGGGUUUAAAGGGUGCGCAGGCGGUUUAAUAAGUCAGUGGUGAAAUCUCGGAGCUCAACUCCGAAACUGCCAUUGAUACUGUUAAACUUGAGUUCAGUUGGAGUAGGCGGAAUGUGUAGUGUAGCGGUGAAAUGCUUAGAAAUUACACAGAACACCGAUAGCGAAGGCAGCUUACUAAACUGAUGCUGACGCUGAGGCACGAAAGCGUGGGGAGCGAACAGGAUUAGAAACCCUAGUAGUCC
Molecule: ribosomal RNA, 274 nt
Filed under: uncultured bacterium
Lineage: Bacteria
Description: partial 16S ribosomal RNA
Rfam family: Bacterial small subunit ribosomal RNA
Source: RNAcentral